RNAcentral lists this ribosomal RNA (1513 nucleotides) under metagenome. RNAcentral's name for it is "bacterial LSU rRNA". It matches the Rfam family "Bacterial large subunit ribosomal RNA", at positions 1429 to 2925 of the family's 2925-position model. The record is from RNAcentral.
GUUAAUAUUCCUGUACUUGGUGUUACUGCGAAGGGGGGACGGAGAAGGCUAUGUUGGCCGGGCGACGGUUGUCCCGGUUUAAGCGUGUAGGCUGGUUUUCCAGGCAAAUCCGGAAAAUCAAGGCUGAGGCGUGAUGACGAGGCACUACGGUGCUGAAGCAACAAAUGCCCUGCUUCCAGGAAAAGCCUCUAAGCAUCAGGUAACAUCAAAUCGUACCCCAAACCGACACAGGUGGUCAGGUGAGAAUACCAAGGCGCUUGGGAGAACUCGGGUGAAGGAACUAGGCAAAAUGGUGCCGUAACUUCGGGAGAAGGCACGCUGAUAUGUAGGUGAGGUCCCUCGCGGAUGGAGCUGAAAUCAGUCGAAGAUACCAGCUGGCUGCAACUGUUUAUUAAAAACACAGCACUGUACAAACACGAAAGUGGACGUAUACGGUGUGACGCCUCCACGGUGCCGGAAGGUUAAUUGAUGGGGUUAGCGCAAGCGAAGCUCUUGAUCGAAGCCCCGGUAAACGGCGGCCGUAACAAUAACGGUCCUAAGGUAGCGAAAUUCCUUGUCGGGUAAGUUCCGACCUGCACGAAUGGCGUAAUGAUGGCCAGGCUGUCUCCACCCGAGACUCAGUGAAAUUGAACUCGCUGUGAAGAUGCAGUGUACCCGCGGCAAGACGGAAAGACCCCGUGAACCUUUACUAUAGCUUGACACUGAACAUUGAGCCUUGAUGUGUAGGAUAGGUGGGAGGCUUUGAAGUGUGGACGCCAGUCUGCAUGGAGCCGACCUUGAAAUACCACCCUUUAAUGCUUGAUGUUCUAACGUUGACCCGUAAUCCGGGUUGCGGACAGUGUCUGGUGGGUAGUUUGACUGGGGCGGUCUCCUCCUAAAGAGUAACGGAGGAGCACGAAGGUUGGCUAAUCCUGGUCGGACAUCAGGAGGUUAGUGCAAUGGCAUAAGCCAGCUUGACUGCGAGCGUGACGGCGCGAGCAGGUGCGAAAGCAGGUCAUAGUGAUCCGGUGGUUCUGAAUGGAAGGGCCAUCGCUCAACGGAUAAAAGGUACUCCGGGGAUAACAGGCUGAUACCGCCCAAGAGUUCAUAUCGACGGCGGUGUUUGGCACCUCGAUGUCGGCUCAUCACAUCCUGGGGCUGAAGUAGGUCCCAAGGGUAUGGCUGUUCGCCAUUUAAAGUGGUACGCGAGCUGGGUUUAGAACGUCGUGAGACAGUUCGGUCCCUAUCUGCCGUGGGCGCUGGAGAACUGAGGGGGGCUGCUCCUAGUACGAGAGGACCGGAGUGGACGCAUCACUGGUGUUCGGGUUGUCAUGCCAAUGGCACUGCCCGGUAGCUAAAUGCGGAAGAGAUAAGUGCUGAAAGCAUCUAAGCACGAAACUUGCCCCGAGAUGAGUUCUCCCUGACCCUUUAAGGGUCCUGAAGGAACGUUGAAGACGACGACGUUGAUAGGCCGGGUGUGUAAGCGCAGCGAUGCGUUGAGCUAACCGGUACUAAUGAACCGUGAGGCUUAACC